Molecule: long non-coding RNA, 236 nt
Organism: Coregonus clupeaformis (lake whitefish)
Lineage: Eukaryota; Metazoa; Chordata; Actinopteri; Salmoniformes; Salmonidae
Exons: 3
Source: RefSeq, a predicted model, not a curated record
GAAGAAGAGGAAGAUAAUGACAUUGACUCUGAUAUGGAAGACGAGGAGGACCAGGGAGAAAGAGACGUGUCUAACCCAGGGCUUGUUAUUGUUAAAAGAGAGGAGGAGGAGGAGGAGGAGGAGGAGGAAGGUUUGGAUAGGACCAAGCCAGGUAAUCACUGAUCAGAACAUGCAUCCAGUGGAGGAGGUAGGGGAUGGAGAGGAGGAGGAGGAGGAGGAGGAGGAGGAGGAGGAAG